Molecule: ribosomal RNA, 253 nt
Filed under: uncultured bacterium
Lineage: Bacteria
Description: partial 16S ribosomal RNA
Rfam family: Bacterial small subunit ribosomal RNA
Source: RNAcentral
UACGUAGGGGGCAAGCGUUGUCCGGAUUUAUUGGGCGUAAAGAGCGUGUAGGCGGCCAUGCAGGUCAGCUGUGAAAACUCGAGGCUCAACCUCGAGACGUCGGUUGAAACCGCAUGGCUAGAGUCCGGAAGAGGAGAGUGGAAUUCCCGGUGUAGCGGUGAAAUGCGCAGAUAUCAGGAAGAACACCCGUGGCUAAGGCGGCUCUCUAGUACGGUACUGACGCUGAGACGCGAAAGCGUGGGGAGCGAACAGG